UAGUGAUUAACGCGAAGAACCUUACCUGGGCUCGAAAUGUAGUGGACCGGGGUGGAAACAUCCCUUCCCGCAAGGGUCGCUAUAUAGGUGCUGCAUGGCUGUCGUCAGCUCGUGUCGUGAGAUGUUGGGUUAAGUCCCGCAACGAGCGCAACCCUUAUUGUCAGUUGCCAUCAUUUAGUUGGGCACUCUGGCGAAACCGCCUCGGAUAACGGGGAGGAAGGUGGGGAUGACGUCAAGUCCCCAUGGCCUUUAUGUCCAGGGCUACACACGUGCUACAAUGGUCGGUACAAACCGUCGCAAACCCGUGAGGGGGAGCUAAUCGGAAAAAGCCGACCUCAGUUCGGAUUGGAGUCUGCAACCCGACUCCAUGAAGCUGGAAUCGCUAGUAAUCGCAGAUCAGAACGCUGCGGUGAAUACGUUCCCGGGCCUUGUCACACCGAAUCGAAUUCC
This 450-nucleotide ribosomal RNA is filed under the name uncultured soil bacterium. Its description in RNAcentral is "bacterial SSU rRNA". It matches the Rfam family "Bacterial small subunit ribosomal RNA", at positions 951 to 1384 of the family's 1533-position model. The record is from RNAcentral.